GAUGAACGCUGGCGGCGUGCCUAAUACAUGCAAGUCGAGCGAACGGACGAGAAGCUUGCUUCUCUGAUGUUAGCGGCGGACGGGUGAGUCACACGUGGAUAACCUACCUAUAAGACUGGGAUAACUUCGGGAAACCGGAGCUAAUACCGGAUAAUAUCUUGAACCGCAUGGUUCAAUAGUGAAAGACGGUCUUGCUGUCACUUAUAGAUGGUUCCGCGCUGCAUUAGCUAGUUGGUAAGGUAACGGCUUACCAAGGCAACGAUGCAUAGCCGACCUGAGAGGGUGAUCGGCCACACUGGAACUGAGACACGGUCCAGACUCCUACGGGAGGCCGCAGUAGGGAAUCUUCCGCAAUGGGCGAAAGCCUGACGGAGCAACGCCGCGUGAGAGAUGAAGGUCUUCGGAUCGUAAAACUCUGUUAUUAGGGAAGAACAUAUGUGUAAGUAACUGUGCAGAGCUUGACGGUAACUAAUCAGAAAGCCACGGCUAACUACGUG
This 497-nucleotide ribosomal RNA is filed under the name uncultured bacterium. RNAcentral describes it as "partial 16S ribosomal RNA". It matches the Rfam family "Bacterial small subunit ribosomal RNA", at positions 28 to 507 of the family's 1533-position model. The record is from RNAcentral.